UGCUUUGGUGUGGCAGUAUCAUAACCAAUGAAGUUAAUCUGAGGUGUGAUUAUUGCCAGUUGAAAACUUUUCCCAAUACCCUGCUAUGCCACCAAAUCUUAUCCCGGCUUAGCUGCUGUGUGCAACAAGCCCUUG
This 135-nucleotide small nuclear RNA is filed under the name Chelonoidis abingdonii (Abingdon island giant tortoise). Its description in RNAcentral is "U4 spliceosomal RNA (ENSCABG00000012979.1)". The stretch from base 1 to 117 matches the Rfam family "U4 spliceosomal RNA". Rfam says of the family: U4 small nuclear RNA (U4 snRNA) is a component of the major U2-dependent spliceosome. The structure of U4 snRNA from yeast and human has been reported. The record is from RNAcentral. Lineage: Eukaryota; Metazoa; Chordata; Testudines; Testudinidae.